Molecule: ribosomal RNA, 503 nt
Filed under: Agromyces sp. 576
Lineage: Bacteria; Bacillati; Actinomycetota; Actinomycetes; Micrococcales; Microbacteriaceae
Description: bacterial SSU rRNA
Rfam family: Bacterial small subunit ribosomal RNA
Source: RNAcentral
CAUUAAGCCCCCCCCCCCUGGGGAGUACGGCCGCAAGGCUAAAACUCAAAGGAAUUGACGGGGGCCCGCACCAAGCGGCGGAGCAUGCGGAUUAAUUUCGAUGCAACGCGAAGAACCUUACCAAGGCUUGACAUACACGAGAACGGGCCAGAAAUGGUCAACUCUUUGGACACUCGUGAACAGGUGGUGCAUGGUUGUCGUCAGCUCGUGUCGUGAGAUGUUGGGUUAAGUCCCGCAACGAGCGCAACCCUCGUCCUAUGUUGCCAGCACGUUAUGGUGGGAACUCAUGGGAGACUGCCGGGGUCAACUCGGAGGAAGGUGGGGAUGACGUCAAAUCAUCAUGCCCCUUAUGUCUUGGGCUUCACGCAUGCUACAAUGGCCGGUACAAAGGGCUGCGAUACCGUAAGGUGGAGCGAAUCCCAAAAAGCCGGUUCUCAGUUCGGAUUGAGGUCUGCAACUCGACCUCAUGAAGUUGGAGUCGCUAGUAAUCGCAGAUCAGCAAC